GCCAUGGUAGUGCAGUGGUUACUGCGCACCCUCGAAAAGGGUGUUGUGUGAGUUCAAUUCUUGUCCGAGGUU
Molecule: non-coding RNA, 72 nt
Organism: Parelaphostrongylus tenuis
Lineage: Eukaryota; Metazoa; Nematoda; Chromadorea; Rhabditida; Metastrongylidae
Source: the annotation of a GenBank genome assembly